AUUGAACGCUGGCGGCAUGCUUUACACAUGCAAGUCGAACGGCAGCGCGGGCUUCGGCCUGGCGGCGAGUGGCGAACGGGUGAGUAAUACAUCGGAACGUGCCCAGUAGUGGGGGAUAGCUCGGCGAAAGCCGGAUUAAUACCGCAUACGACCUGAGGGUGAAAGCGGGGGAUCUUCGGACCUCGCGCUAUUGGAGCGGCCGAUGGCAGAUUAGCUAGUUGGUGGGGUAAAGGCCUACCAAGGCGACGAUCUGUAGCUGGUCUGAGAGGACGACCAGCCACACUGGGACUGAGACACGGCCCAGACUCCUACGGGAGGCAGCAGUGGGGAAUUUUGGACAAUGGGCGAAAGCCUGAUCCAGCAAUGCUGCGUGUGUGAUGAAGGCCUUCGGGUUGUAAAGCACUUUUGGCGGGAACGAAAAGGACUGUGCCAAUACCACGGUUCGAUGACGGUACCCGCAGAAUAAGCACCGGCUAACUACGUG
Molecule: ribosomal RNA, 484 nt
Filed under: uncultured bacterium
Lineage: Bacteria
Description: partial 16S ribosomal RNA
Rfam family: Bacterial small subunit ribosomal RNA
Source: RNAcentral